This 253-nucleotide ribosomal RNA is filed under the name uncultured bacterium. RNAcentral's name for it is "partial 16S ribosomal RNA". It matches the Rfam family "Bacterial small subunit ribosomal RNA", at positions 524 to 776 of the family's 1533-position model. The record is from RNAcentral.
UACGUAGGUGGCAAGCGUUGUCCGGAUUUACUGGGCGUAAAGCGCGCGCAGGCGGCUGAUUAAGUCCGAUGUGAAAUCUCCCGGCUCAACCGGGAGCGGUCAUUGGAUACUGGUCGGCUUGAGGGAGGCAGAGGAGAGUGGAAUUCCCGGUGUAGUGGUGGAAUGCGUAGAUAUCGGGAGGAACACCAGAGGCGAAGGCGGGCUACUGGGCUGAUACUGACGCUGAUGCGCGAAAGCUAGGGGAGCAAACGGG